This 662-nucleotide small RNA is filed under the name Arabidopsis thaliana (thale cress). Its description in RNAcentral is "ATSL209000". Lineage: Eukaryota; Viridiplantae; Streptophyta; Magnoliopsida; Brassicales; Brassicaceae. The record is from RNAcentral.
UUUUCUUAUCAUUCUCAUUCUCUUUCCCAUGCAAUCCAUACACAAUCCCAAUCCCAAAUACAAGUCUCCACCUAGUCCUAGCUAACCCAAAAAGCGUGGGCUAGGUCUACAUGAAAGACUGCUCUUGUCGGCUCAUACCUAACACGUUAUACCAAGCUCAAUCGAAAAAGACCUCACAAUCACACACAAAUGAUCUUUGGUUUGAAAUAAGGCUAGGCUAAGGGUAUGGGAAACUGCUCUAAAAAUGAGAGUCAGCUACUUGGAUUAACAGAGGGUGGUGAAGUGAAUAAGAUAAUCCAAGUAUGUAUAUGGUAGCCAUGACUUCACAAACAAUGCAUAGACAUGAUAAUUGCAAAUUCAGUUCAAGUUCUAAUAGAUAGGGAAUGGCAUCAGAUAAGCGAGUUUUGAAUCAAAGCAAUAUAGUCAAGUUGUAAAUUCAAAGCAGGGUGCGGUCUUACUUCAGAGAUACAAUCGGUUAUGCAACAGAGAACGAACAACCUGAACAUUGAACUUACUUCAUUGAAUUAAAACAUGCUUAUCGGUUUGAAAUCAUCAUUUUCCCCUAUGCAAAUGAGCAAUUCAAAAUACAAACACUCUAUAUACAAUCCUAAAAUGAAAUGCAAUCUACAUGACACUCAGUUUUUGUGAAAUCAUUUUCUGAA